RNAcentral lists this long non-coding RNA (236 nucleotides) under Cyanistes caeruleus (blue tit). Its description in RNAcentral is "lncRNA (ENSCCEG00000020303.1)". The record is from RNAcentral. Lineage: Eukaryota; Metazoa; Chordata; Aves; Passeriformes; Paridae.
AUGGAGUUUGCAGCAGCUGCAGUAGCACUAUUCUGUGAAGCCAACACAUUUAGAAAUAUAAGCAGAGAUGUGAGACCAUUAAGGUUCUUAGAGGAGAGAUCCUAUAAGCAGCAAGACCAUCUGUUGUCUGGGUCUGUAUGUGUAACCAGAAACACACCUGAGGAGGAUGUGAAUACCUGGGAUUAAAUCUAAUGUACCUGAAUAAAACUUUUAAAAGAUUGGAGAGGAAUGGAAUG